UACGGAGGGUGCAAGCGUUAAUCGGAAUUACUGGGCGUAAAGGGUGCGUAGGUGGUUUAAUAAGUUAUGUGUGAAAGCCCAGGGCUCAACCUUGGGAUGUCAGAUAAGACUGUUAGACUAGAGUAUGGGAGAGGGUAGUGGAAUUUCCGGUGUAGCGGUGAAAUGCGUAGAGAUCGGAAGGAACACCAGUGGCGAAGGCGGCUACCUGGCCUAAUACUGACACUGAGGCACGAAAGCGUGGGGAGCAAACAGG
RNAcentral lists this ribosomal RNA (253 nucleotides) under uncultured bacterium. Its description in RNAcentral is "partial 16S ribosomal RNA". It matches the Rfam family "Bacterial small subunit ribosomal RNA", at positions 524 to 776 of the family's 1533-position model. The record is from RNAcentral.